RNAcentral lists this unclassified non-coding RNA (257 nucleotides) under Plasmodium falciparum (malaria parasite P. falciparum). RNAcentral describes it as "ITS1, S-type". The record is from RNAcentral. Lineage: Eukaryota; Apicomplexa; Aconoidasida; Haemosporida; Plasmodiidae.
AAAACAAUACUUUUGUGCUUCUCUGGUUUUUUUUUUGUGAUAUGUUAUAUUUUAAUCAUAUAUAUAUAUUAUCAUAGAAGAAAAAGAGAAUUUGGAUUAUUUCAUAAUUCUAAUACUAAAAAAAAUUAAUUUCUUUAGUUAAAAUUUCUCACUGAAUAAAUAAGUUUUUACUUUGAUUGGUUCUAGAGGAGAGAAAGUUUAUAUGUAAUUUAUUAGAAAUAAUAUUUAUAUGUAUAUAUUUUUUUUUUUUACAAAGU